RNAcentral lists this long non-coding RNA (689 nucleotides) under Olea europaea subsp. europaea. Lineage: Eukaryota; Viridiplantae; Streptophyta; Magnoliopsida; Lamiales; Oleaceae. The record is from RNAcentral.
GCAAUUUCUACAUAAAAUAAGUUAAAAUUAAAUUUAAAGAAACGAAUAAAAUAAAAGAAAAUGAAAUUCAUUUCUUUCAUACCCUCAUCUGUAUUCCUUCACCACCCAUGGCAAAACCAAUCCAAACCGGGAAAGUCACUGGCCUCGCCAUCAGCUUGCCACCGUUGUCAUUGACCUAUUUCUAUUGAAAAAAACAAGCACAAUUAAUUCGGAAAAACAUAGGCAUCAAACUACCCAGAAAUUUUCGUAGAAUCACAACCAAAAUCAGAAAAACACAAUCAAACAAAAGACACAAGCACAAGCAGAAUAACGGAAAUCAAACCGCAAGAAUUUUUCACACAAUCAAACAGUCAACCACCCAGAAGUUUUUGCACCAAAAAUCAAAUCCAUCAUUUUGUAGAACCCAAAAUUAAACCCCAUAAAUCACAAAUCUGAAUGUAAAUUGUGUUUGCAUAUGAAUUAAUUUUGUGCAGAUGAGGAAGCUCUAUGUGUUCUGCAGUUAAAUAUUUUCUGCUAUGUGCCAUUAUAGAUGCAGCGCAAAUCUACCUCAUUUUCAAUUAUUAGGGGAGAAUAAUCCCAAUUUUAUUUUGGGUACGUUGUGGCGGUCGCGGUGGUGAUGGUGGCUCUUUAGGUUAGGUUUGCGUGGGGUUUGGGAGUCGUGUAGGGUAAAAGGAAACAAACGGUUUUUA